Molecule: ribosomal RNA, 255 nt
Filed under: uncultured bacterium
Lineage: Bacteria
Description: partial 16S ribosomal RNA
Rfam family: Bacterial small subunit ribosomal RNA
Source: RNAcentral
UACGAAGGGGGCUAGCGUUGCUCGGAAUCACUGGGCGGUAAAGCGCACGUAGGCGGAUUGCUAAGUCAGGGGUGAAAUCCUGGAGCUCAACUCCAGAACUGCCUUUGAUACUGGCAACCUUGAGUCCGGGAGAGGUGAGUGGAACUGCGAGUGUAGAGGUGAAAUUCGUAGAUAUUCGCAAGAACACCAGUGGCGAAGGCGGCUCACUGGCCCGGUACUGACGCUGAGGUGACGAAAGCGUGGGGAGCAAACAGG